Molecule: transfer RNA, 60 nt
Filed under: Nicotiana sylvestris (wood tobacco)
Lineage: Eukaryota; Viridiplantae; Streptophyta; Magnoliopsida; Solanales; Solanaceae
Also listed under: 1 other name
Rfam family: tRNA
About the family: Transfer RNA (tRNA) molecules are approximately 80 nucleotides in length.
Source: Rfam by way of RNAcentral
CCUUUUCUAGGAUAAUUGCCUUCCAAGCAAUAGACCCGGGUUCGACUCCCGGCAGAAGCA